AGAGUUUGAUCCUGGCUCAGGAUGAACGCUAGCGGCAGGCUUAAUACAUGCAAGUCGAGGAGCAGCAUGACUGUAGCAAUACAGUUGAUGGCGACCGGCAAACGGGUGCGGAACACGUACACAACCUUCCUUUAAGCGGGGAAUAGCCCGGGGAAACCCGGAUUAAUACCCCAUAGUAUAUUGAUGAGGCAUCUUAUUAAUAUUAAAGAUUUAUUACUUGAAGAUGGGUGUGCGGCUGAUUAGCUAGUUGGCGGGGUAACGGCCCACCAAGGCAACGAUCAGUAACUGGUGUGAGAGCACGACCAGUCACACGGGCACUGAGACACGGGCCCGACUCCUACGGGAGGCAGCAGUAAGGAAUAUUGGUCAAUGGACGAAAGUCUGAACCAGCCAUGCCGCGUGGAGGAUGAAGGCCCUCUGGGUUGUAAACUUCUUUUAUAUGGGACGAAAAAAGGCUUUUCUAAGUCGUCUGACGGUACCAUUUGAAUAAGCACCGGCUAACUCCGUGCCAGCAGCGGCGGUAAUAC
Molecule: ribosomal RNA, 527 nt
Filed under: uncultured bacterium
Lineage: Bacteria
Description: bacterial SSU rRNA
Rfam family: Bacterial small subunit ribosomal RNA
Source: RNAcentral